AGCAGCCGCGGUAAUUCCAGCUCCAAUAGCGUAUAUUAAAGUUGUUGCAGUUAAAAAGCUCGUAGUUGAAUUUCGGGGUUAGUAGGUUGGUCGUACCACUGGUAUGUACCGGCUUUACUGAUUCCUCCUUCUUGAAGAACUGUAAUGCCAUUUAUUUGGUGCUGCAGGGAAUCAGGACUUGUUACUUUGAAAAAAUUAGAGUGUUUAAAGCAGGCUAACGCUUGAAUACAUUAGCAUGGAAUAAUAAAAUAGGACGUAGCGAUCCUAUUUUGUUGGUUUCUAGGAUUGACGUAAUGAUUAAUAGGGAUAGUUGGGGGCAUUAGUAUUCAAUUGUCAGAGGUGAAAUUCUUGGAUUUAUUGAAGACUAACUACUGCGAAAGCAUUUGCCAAGGAUGUUUUC
This 400-nucleotide ribosomal RNA is filed under the name uncultured Glomeromycotina. Its description in RNAcentral is "SSU rRNA". It matches the Rfam family "Eukaryotic small subunit ribosomal RNA", at positions 569 to 971 of the family's 1831-position model. The record is from RNAcentral. Lineage: Eukaryota; Fungi; Glomeromycota.